GAUGAACGCUGGCGGCGUGCCUAAUACAUGCAAGUCGAGCGAACAGACGAGGAGCUUGCUCCUCUGACGUUAGCGGCGGACGGGUGAGUAACACGUGGAUAACCUACCUAUAAGACUGGGAUAACUUCGGGAAACCGGAGCUAAUACCGGAUAAUAUAUUGAACCGCAUGGUUCAAUAGUGAAAGACGGUUUUGCUGUCACUUAUAGAUGGAUCCUCGCCGCAUUAGCUAGUUGGUAAGGUAACGGCUUACCAAGGCAACGAUGCGUAGCCGACCUGAGAGGGUGAUCGGCCACACUGGAACUGAGACACGAUCCAGACUCCUACGGGAGGCAGCAGUAGGGAAUCUUCCGCAAUGGGCGAGAGCCUGACGGAGCAACGCCGCGUGAGUGAUGAAGGUCUUCGGAUCGUAAAACUAUGUUAUUAGGGAAGAACAAAUGUGUAAGUAACUAUGCACGUCUUGACGGUACCUAAGCAGAAAGCAACGGCUAACUACGU
This 496-nucleotide ribosomal RNA is filed under the name uncultured bacterium. Its description in RNAcentral is "partial 16S ribosomal RNA". It matches the Rfam family "Bacterial small subunit ribosomal RNA", at positions 28 to 506 of the family's 1533-position model. The record is from RNAcentral.